This 430-nucleotide ribosomal RNA is filed under the name Bacillus sp. R-32656. Its description in RNAcentral is "bacterial SSU rRNA". It matches the Rfam family "Bacterial small subunit ribosomal RNA", at positions 13 to 432 of the family's 1533-position model. The record is from RNAcentral. Lineage: Bacteria; Bacillati; Bacillota; Bacilli; Caryophanales; Bacillaceae.
UUGAUUCCUGGCUCAGGACGAACGCUGGCGGCGUGCCUAAUACAUGCAAGUCGAGCGAAUCAAUAGGAGCUUGCUCCUGUUGGUUAGCGGCGGACGGGUGAGUAACACGUGGGCAACCUGCCUGUAAGACUGGGAUAACACCGGGAAACCGGUGCUAAUACCGGAUAAUCCUUUUCCUCUCAUGAGGAAAAGCUGAAAGUCGGUUUCGGCUGACACUUACAGAUGGGCCCGCGGCGCAUUAGCUAGUUGGUGAGGUAACGGCUCACCAAGGCGACGAUGCGUAGCCGACCUGAGAGGGUGAUCGGCCACACUGGGACUGAGACACGGCCCAGACUCCUACGGGAGGCAGCAGUAGGGAAUCUUCCACAAUGGACGAAAGUCUGAUGGAGCAACGCCGCGUGAGCGAUGAAGGCCUUCGGGUCGUAAAGCU